AGAGUUUGAUCCUGGCUCAGGACGAACGCUGGCGGCGUGCUUAACACAUGCAAGUCGAACGGAAAGGCCCUUUCGGGGGUGCUCGAGUGGCGAACGGGUGAGUAACACGUGGGUGAUCUGCCCUGCACUUCGGGAUAAGCCUGGGAAACUGGGUCUAAUACCGGAUAGGACUACGAAUCGCAUGGUUUGUGGUGGAAAGCUUUUGCGGUGUGGGAUGGGCCCGCGGCCUAUCAGCUUGUUGGUGGGGUGAUGGCCUACCAAGGCGACGACGGGUAGCCGGCCUGAGAGGGUGUCCGGCCACACUGGGACUGAGAUACGGCCCAGACUCCUACGGGAGGCAGCAGUGGGGAAUAUUGCACAAUGGGCGCAAGCCUGACGCAGCGACGCCGCGUGAGGGAUGACGGCCUUCGGGUUG
RNAcentral lists this ribosomal RNA (415 nucleotides) under uncultured bacterium. Its description in RNAcentral is "bacterial SSU rRNA". It matches the Rfam family "Bacterial small subunit ribosomal RNA", at positions 8 to 425 of the family's 1533-position model. The record is from RNAcentral.